MicroRNA precursor from Bos grunniens (domestic yak), 58 nucleotides. The record is from Ensembl. Lineage: Eukaryota; Metazoa; Chordata; Mammalia; Artiodactyla; Bovidae.
ACAGGCACGGCCAGUUUGAGCAUUUUCACUGAAUUGCCAAACCAGUUGUGCCUGUAGA